GGAGCUUGCUCCUUUGACAUUAGCGGCGGACGGGUGAGUAACACGUGGGCAACCUGCCCCUUAGACUGGGAUAACUCCGGGAAACCGGAGCUAAUACCGGAUAAUCCCUUUCUCCACCUGGAGAGAGGGUGAAAGAUGGCUUCGGCUAUCACUAGGGGAUGGGCCCGCGGCGCAUUAGCUAGUUGGUAAGGUAACGGCUUACCAAGGCNACGAUGCGUAGCCGACCUGAGAGGGUGAUCGGCCACACUGGGACUGAGACACGGCCCAGACUCCUACGGGAGGCAGCAGUAGGGAAUCUUCCGCAAUGGACGAAAGUCUGACGGAGCAACGCCGCGUGAGUGAGGAAGGCCUUCGGGUCGUAAAGCUCUGUUGUGAGGGAAGAAGCGGUGCCGUUCGAAUAGGGCGGUACCUUGACGGUACCUCACCANAAAGCCACGGCUAACUACGUGCCAGCAGCCGCGGUAAUACGUAGGUGGCAAGCGUUGUCCGGAAUUAUUGGGCGUAAAGCGCGCGCAGGCGGCUUCUUAAGUCUGAUGUGAAAUCUCGGGGCUCAACCCCGAGCGGCCAUUGGAAACUGGGGAGCUUGAGUGCANAAGAGGAGAGUGGAAUUCCACGUGUAGCGGUGAAAUGCGUANAAAUGUGGAGGAACACCAGUGGCGA
This 660-nucleotide ribosomal RNA is filed under the name Shouchella clausii. RNAcentral's name for it is "bacterial SSU rRNA". It matches the Rfam family "Bacterial small subunit ribosomal RNA", at positions 75 to 718 of the family's 1533-position model. Lineage: Bacteria; Bacillati; Bacillota; Bacilli; Caryophanales; Bacillaceae. The record is from RNAcentral.